AGGGUUGUAGUUCAGUGGUAGAACAUCAGCUUUGCAUUCAGAAGGUCCCAGGUUCAAUCCCAGGCAUCUCCA
This is a non-coding RNA of Podarcis lilfordi (Lilford's wall lizard), 72 nucleotides long. The record is from the annotation of a GenBank genome assembly. Lineage: Eukaryota; Metazoa; Chordata; Lepidosauria; Squamata; Lacertidae.